GUUUAAAUUAUGGUUCAGUUAUGUUGGAACUAGCUAGUUCCUUAGUGGGGAACAUAAUUAUUAGCGGCUAAUGGUAUAGAAUUUGGUAUUUAAUGACCAUGUGUUGGGUUAUAUAUGUGUGAGAAGUGUUAUUGUACAUGGGAAUUUUUCUCAUUUUUGUAUCUUCUUCAUCUUCUUUUUGAGUCUGCUCCGUAGAAGAGAGUGUUUAAGGGAACGCUCUAUAUGAAGAGUUAAAAUUGGAGUCUGACGUCUGCCAGUAGAGAACCGCAUAAAGUGUUGCCAGGAUGAAGGAGGUUCUCGUGUUUGGAAAAGUUAAGUUGACAAAGAGGAGGAUGGCAGAUAAGUUUCUAUACUCCAUUUUUGGGUGUUCUGCUAUUGCUGUGUUACUUGUGUGAUUUGUAUUGGGUUCAAUUUGAGUCUAUGGCUGCUUAUAAGUAUGAUUUUAGAUUGUAUAAAAAUUAUAUACAUGUAUUGAUUUGUGUAAGUAUGAGAGGUUCAAGAAUGUUUUCUGUUAAAUCGAUAUGGUUAUGUAUCGAUGAAAUGUUAGCGCACUCUAUGAUAUAGUAUGAAUAAAUGAUAUUAAUUUAAAUGA
Long non-coding RNA from Gossypium arboreum, 592 nucleotides. RefSeq lists it as uncharacterized. Lineage: Eukaryota; Viridiplantae; Streptophyta; Magnoliopsida; Malvales; Malvaceae. The transcript is spliced from 2 exons. The record is from RefSeq and is a predicted model, not a curated record.